Long non-coding RNA from Bos taurus (domestic cattle), 1907 nucleotides. NCBI's taxonomy places the organism in Eukaryota, Metazoa, Chordata, Mammalia, Artiodactyla, Bovidae. The record is from Ensembl.
CUUGAAUUUAAUAGAUAUUAAUGCAUUUUACAUUACUGGGGCAAGAGCAAGGAAAUUUCUAGACAGUUUAACUCUAAAGUAAUUGGUCUGCAUAGUUUUAAAGUAGUUCAUACAACAGAAGAGCUAUUUCACAACAUGUAAGACAUGUUUUGUCAUUUAAAAAUGUAUCCAGAGUAACUAUAGUAAGGGCUACUCGGCAGUCUUCUAGAUUAGCUUCAAUAUUACUUAUGGGGGAAGAACAGUGUUUGGGAAAAUAUUUGAGAAAACAAACCUUGAAGGAAGAGAGAAAAGCUUAUUAUUCAUCAAAGUCUGUUAACCUUUACUUAAUGUGUUACUCUGUACUGUAGAGAAUAUACAGCAUAUAUUCUCUGAAUAUUUGCAAAUAAUACCCUUUUAAUUUUUAUGCAAACCAAACAAUAAUAAUAAAAUAAAAUUGUACAAAGUACUAUUGUAAAAUUGUAAAAUAAAUGUAAAAUUGUAAAAUAAAAUUAUACAAUGGUUGCAUAACUCCAUACUAAAAACUACUGAAUUAUUUAAACUAUUAUCCAAAGAAAUGACAUUGAGUGGUAUUUAACCAUUUAAACCACAACACAUUCAGUUCAGUUCAGUUGCUCGGUCGUGUCUGACUCUUUGCGACCCCAAGACUGCAGCACGCCAGGCUUCCCUGUCCAUCACCAACUCCUGGAGCUUGCUCAAACUCAUGUUCAUCGAGUCAGUGAUGCCAUCCAACCAUCUCAUCUUCUGUUGUCCCCUUCUCCUCCUGCCCUCAAUCUUGCCCAGCAUCAGGGUCUUUUCCAAUGAGUCAGUUCCUCGAAGCAGGUGGACGAAGGAUUGGAGCUUCAGCUUCAGCAUCAGUCCUUCCAAUGAAUAUUCAGGACCAAUUUCCUUUAGGAUUGACUGGUUGAAUCUCCUUGCUAUCCAAGGGACUCUCAAGAGUCUUCUCCAACACCACAGUUCAAAAGCAUCAAUUCUUUGGUGCUCAGCUUUCUUUAUGGUCCAACUCUCACAUCCAUAUAUGACUACUGGAAAAAACCAUAGCUUUGACUAGAUGGACUUUUGUCAGCAGAAAAUUGUAAACAUGUGCAAACUCUCACAUUGCCUAAUUCUUUCUCACCAAACCAACUAUGAUAUAGAUAAAAUGGAGUAACUUUCAUUAAUUUUCCUACAAAUGAAAGAGUGAUAGGUUGCAAAUUAUACAUGAUUUUCAAUUACAAGUAAGCUAGACAGAAGUAUCUACAUUAUUCAAAGUUGAGGAAUGGUUAUGGAUAUUUCUCUCUAUGUUAGAAGCUACAUGCCGUUUUGUUUUGUUUGUUUGUUUUUUCUUUGCUCUCUCCUUCAAGAUCGCAUCUCAUCCUGGGACUUCCCCAGUGGUCCAGGGACUAGGACUCCAUGCACUCAAUGCAGGGGGCCCAAGUUCAAUCCCUGGGCAGGGAACCAGAUCCCACAUGCUGCAACUAAGAGUCUGCACACUGCAACUAAGGAUUCCAUAUGCCCCAACUAAACUACCCAAGUGCCACAACCAAGACCAGUGCAGCCAAAUAAAAAAUAUUAAAAAAAAAAAAAAGAUCUCAUCUGAUCCUACCAUCACCACUCAGACCCUCAGUCUUUUGAAUCCAUCUCUCAACAUCUAGCUGUGGCAUCUCCUCCAUGGAGCUUCUCCAGAUUGCUCAGGCACCAUGAUUUUAAAAGCUUAUGUGCUUCCCUGGUGGUUCAAACGGUAGAGUCUGCCUGCAAUGCUGGAGACCCGGGUUUGAUCCAUGGGUCAGAAAGACCCCCUGGAGAAGGAAAUGGCAACCUACUCCAGUAUUCUUGCCUGGAGAAUCCUAUAGACAGAGGAGCCUGACGGGCUACAGUCCAUGGGACAGUAAAGAGUUGGACAUGACUGAGCAACUUCACUUUCACUUUUC